UACAGACGCGCCCUCUCUCAUACAAAUCGGGAAACCUCGUCGCGGAAGGUUUUCCUCUUUCUGUCUAUAUUUUCUGUAAAAUAUCCACAUUUUACAGCACAGUUUCGGCGUCUUUUUACUCUAGCUCGUACGUCAAACCACUGUGUGUGUUCAUGGGGUUGCAUUUUGCGUAAAAAAGAAGGUUUUAGUCGGGAAAGGUGUGACUAAAAAUAGAUCACUGCCCGAUAUACUUGUAGGGAAAUCUAGUGAGAGCUUUCCAUUCAUAAAUUACAUUCAUUUGGUGUCGGGCAGUGAAGUAAUACAGUUGGGAGAAGCGAUUUAACCAGUGAAUGUAUUAGUUCGGUGAUAAGGUUCAAGUGCUGACGGGGAUCGAUACACGGGCCCCUGCCUGAGUUCAUCUUUCGAGAAGACACCAGUUCACCGCUCAGAAGAAGAAAUGGCGACGGAGGGCGGUCUGGCGCCUGGUGGCGAUGGAGACAUGCCUGUGGGCGGACCCAAGACGCCGCAGCAGAUCGCCGCCCAGCGUCGCUUGCAGCAGACGCAGGCACAAGUUGAUGAGGUGGUUGAUAUAAUGAAAACGAACGUAGAGAAAGUGCUGGAGCGAGAUCAGAAACUCUCAGAGCUUGAUGACAGAGCAGACGCACUGCAACAGGGAGCUUCGCAGUUUGAACAACAAGCCGGCAAACUCAAAAGCAAAUUCUGGCUGCAAAACUUAAAGAUGAUGAUAAUCGCAGCUGUUAUUGGAAUCAUCAUCUUGGCCCUAAUCAUCGCCAACUUUGUGUGAACAAGUUUCGGUAACCGAAGUUUAAUUUAGAAGUUACAUGUUAUAUUGUUAAUGAAUACUUAGUAUAAAACGUCUGUAAACCACACGUGGAGGAUUGAGGCAGAGGUAUGGAUUUAAGACAGGCGAACCACCCCACCUGCCGUAACAUCAAGGAAGAACUUUGAAACAACUUUAUUUUAAUUUUUCCUAGUAAUUAGUGUUGUUAAUAAAUGUCCUCUGAAUAAUAUAUCACCAAAAAAUAUCAAAUGUUUUGCCUACUAUCUAAAUAUCAAAACUAUUUAUCCUAUCAAAACUUUUAGUAAAUUUCGAAAUCACGCGUCCUUGACAUGAUUUCUUUUAUAUCACUAACAAUGUUCAAUGCUCUGUUUAAUACGAAAUAUAGUAUUUUUAGAUGAUCUUUCUUUGUUAUAAAUUUUACCACAGAAAUUAAUAUUCGCUAUUAGAUAAGACUUAUCAAAAAUACAGUAAUAUCUCUUGAAUACUUUUUACUUUUUCGAACCUAGGCUGUUUGUUACGAAUGCAACGGUAUUUUUUUAUAUUUGGACCAAAUUUCUUGAGCAUUUAUUUUGGGUCGUUUGAUCUUUUAUUUUUUUAACUUUUAAAUUGUUGAACUUUGAUAAUAUGUACUGUCUACCUAUACAAAUGUGUUUAUCUGCUUGUAAAUCCUACCACUUUAUAGGUGUUAUAUGAAUAGAUAUUUACACUUUAUAAAUAUCAGUCCGUUUAUGAAAUGGACGUAUGUUUCGGCUGAUUUCUGUAUUCAAAGUUCCAAGUUAUAACGACUAUAAUAUAACUAGCAUUUUGAUAGCAUAGCGUGUAUUGGGCCCAUGUUAGCACCACGGCGGUUUAGUAAAUUAUUUACGUAAUAUGUUUUAAUCGCUUUAUAGCUGUAAUCUAUAACCGUGAUCUAUAUUUUGAAACGAAAAUUUGUACUUAAUCAAAUUGUUGUUUGUUUAAGUGAAAUUAAAUUAGAACAUAAUUAAGGACUUGUGCUAUUUUGCGUUUUUACAUAAAUAAAAUGUGUAAUCGUAACUGGCCAAUAUUUUUAAAAAUAUAUAAUCUAUCCUGUGUAACGACAGCAGUUAAUGCAUUAAAUAUCUUUUUACUGUGUGUGUACCUAUUAAUGUAUGUAAAAACAGCUUCGUAGUUAGAAAUUGUAAAAAUUCACACUAGGUAAUUAGAUGUUUCAAAUAAAUAGCCACUCAUUAGUUAUAUUAAUCAUUAUGAUAUUCGUGGCUACUUUACAUUUGGUCGUAACUUGAAUGCCCUGUACAUUCACCAAUCUAUCAUUGCACUGCAGCAUGGCGUGAAUGGGAACGAUUAAACUAUAAUUGCCACAUUAAAAAAUACAUGACAGAAGCGACCAAGUGUAGUGGAGCCUUAACAUUUACUAUAAACAUAGAUUUAUAGAAAUUAUUGGGAGGAUUGGCCAGUAACUUACUCGAAAUUUAGAUGAAUGGGAUUUUGGGAUGAAUAUUAUCAAAUUGAGAUCGGUCCUUUAUUCGAGAUCAUGUAUCGAGACCGAUAUUUAAAAGUACGUAAGUUGCACAUCGUUAUUGUUGACAGUCUCAUUAGGGCGAGAUAUUAGAUCGUAAUUAUAAGUAUGACGUCACGAUUUUGAAACACAGUACCUAUUUUGUUGUAGGUUCUAAUUUGGAUGAGGUGAGGUGAUGAUUAACCUUACCUAAUAAUGUAAAAUUUUAUGACAAUAUCUUAUCAUAUUCUGUAGUUAUUUUUCUAGAUACGACAUUAAUGCAAUCUAUAUGAGCUAUGAGAAAAGAAACAUUUCUCCAAAAAUAUGUUUGACUCCAUUUUCAAACAAGCCAAAAAUAAUACUGCUGUACAUUAACGGUUGAAGUCCAAGUUCAAAAUAAUUAAACUAAGUUUAUUUUUUAUUAUUUUAUUAUAUACCUACUAUGUCUGAUCGCCUAGAAUGUUGAUACAUUUAUAGGCACAGUGUAAAUAUUGUUCUUCCAAUACAACUGACAAUAAAUUGUCAUUAUCAUAUUUUGUAAAAGAAAGCAUUGUUAACUGACUAUUGAUUGGUAACAAUGUUUUGGGGAUUCCCCGGGUAAGCAAAAAAUUAUUGAGAUUGCCAGCUAUGAAAGUGUAUCGUAGUCAAUACUGACUUGGCUAAAACAUGCCAACUUCCAACGGGAUUAUAUCAAGUUAUAAGCGUGGUAAAAAUAUCAACACUUCUGCCUAUCUCUUUGGUGAUCAACCAACUGGAUAUUAUGUUUUGAAAGUUGUUAAAAUACUGUGUUUCCAGAACGUUGACAAAAAUAACAUUCACUGUAAGGUAAAAAGAUAACACACCACAAGUAUGUUAUGGGAUUUAGAUAAUAAUUUGGCUGUUACUUAUAGCGUUGUUUACAACACUAUGACGUUAGCGCAACACUAGUCUUCUUCAGUGUUGCCGCGCUAUAUUUUAAACAACAUUGUAGGUAGGUAAGCCAUAGCUAUAAGCAUUGUGGUCAUAAAAUAUAAAUUAAAAUGAAAUAAAAAUGUUGUAACUGAAA
Spodoptera litura is the source of this 3303-nucleotide RNA transcript. It is a transcript of the gene named neuronal synaptobrevin, with no coding region annotated. NCBI's taxonomy places the organism in Eukaryota, Metazoa, Arthropoda, Insecta, Lepidoptera, Noctuidae. The record is from RefSeq and is a predicted model, not a curated record.